GUCAGGAUGGCCGAGCGGUCUAAGGCGCUGCGUUCAGGUCAUGACCCUGGAGGCGUGGGUUCGAAUCCCACUUCUGACA
This is a non-coding RNA of Gambusia affinis (western mosquitofish), 79 nucleotides long. The record is from the annotation of a RefSeq genome assembly. NCBI's taxonomy places the organism in Eukaryota, Metazoa, Chordata, Actinopteri, Cyprinodontiformes, Poeciliidae.